UAAUAUAGCUGAGUGUUAGAGUGCUGAAUUUCUGUACUUUUGAUGCAGGUUCGAAU
RNAcentral lists this transfer RNA (56 nucleotides) under Pyramimonas parkeae. Its description in RNAcentral is "partial tRNA". Lineage: Eukaryota; Viridiplantae; Chlorophyta; Pyramimonadophyceae; Pyramimonadales; Pyramimonadaceae. The record is from RNAcentral.